UACGUAGGUGGCAAGCGUUGUCCGGAUUUACUGGCGUAAAGGGCGCGUAGGCGGUUUGUACAGUCAGACGUGAAAUUCCCGGGCUCAACCUGGGGGCUGCGUUUGAUACGUGCGGACUUGAGUUCGGAAGAGGGUCGUGGAAUUCCCAGUGUAGAGGUGAAAUUCGUAGAUAUUGGGAAGAACACCGGUGGCGAAGGCGGCGACCUGGUCCGAUACUGACGCUGAGGCGCGAAAGCGUGGGGAGCAAACAGG
RNAcentral lists this ribosomal RNA (252 nucleotides) under uncultured bacterium. RNAcentral describes it as "partial 16S ribosomal RNA". It matches the Rfam family "Bacterial small subunit ribosomal RNA", at positions 524 to 776 of the family's 1533-position model. The record is from RNAcentral.